RNAcentral lists this transfer RNA (67 nucleotides) under Ovis aries (sheep). It matches the Rfam family "tRNA". Rfam says of the family: Transfer RNA (tRNA) molecules are approximately 80 nucleotides in length. Lineage: Eukaryota; Metazoa; Chordata; Mammalia; Artiodactyla; Bovidae. The record is from Rfam by way of RNAcentral.
ACCCUGGUGGUCCAGUGGAUAAGACUCCACACUCCCACUGUGGGAGUGCUGGUUCCAUCCCUGGGUG